UGCAAGUCGAGGGGUAUAGUUCUUCGGAACUAGAGACCGGCGCACGGGUGCGUAACGCGUAUGCAAUCUACCUUUCACAAAGGGAUAGCCCAGAGAAAUUUGGAUUAAUACCUUAUAGUAUAACGACUUCGCAUGGAGAUGUUAUUAAAGAUUUAUCGGUGAAAGAUGAGCAUGCGUCCCAUUAGCUAGUUGGUAAGGUAACGGCUUACCAAGGCUACGAUGGGUAGGGGUCCUGAGAGGGAGAUCCCCCACACUGGUACUGAGACACGGACCAGACUCCUACGGGAGGCAGCAGUGAGGAAUAUUGGUCAAUGGGCGCAAGCCUGAACCAGCCAUGCCGCGUGCAGGAUGACGGUCCUAUGGAUUGUAAACUGCUUUUGUACAGGAAGAAACACUCCCUCGUGAGGGAGCUUGACGGUACUGUAAGAAUAAGGAUCGGCUAACUCCGUGCCAGCAGCCGCGGUAAUACGGAGGAUCCAAGCGUUAUCCGGAAUCAUUGGGUUUAAAGGGUCCGUAGGCGGCUUAAUAAGUCAGUGGUGAAAGCCCUACGCUUAACGUAGGAACGGCCAUUGAUACUGUUAGGCUUGAAUUAUUAGGAAGUAACUAGAAUAUGUAGUGUAGCGGUGAAAUGCUUAGAGAUUACAUGGAAUACCAAUUGCGAAGGCAGGUUACUACUAAUGGAUUGACGCUGAUGGACGAAAGCGUGGGUAGCGAACAGGAUUAGAUACCCUGGUAGUCCACGCCGUAAACGAUGGAUACUAGCUGUUGGGAGCAAUUUCAGUGGCUAAGCGAAAGUGAUAAGUAUCCCACCUGGGGAGUACGAACGCAAGUUUGAAACUCAAAGGAAUUGACGGGGGCCCGCACAAGCGGUGGAGCAUGUGGUUUAAUUCGAUGAUACGCGAGGAACCUU
This 910-nucleotide ribosomal RNA is filed under the name uncultured Flavobacteriaceae bacterium. RNAcentral describes it as "bacterial SSU rRNA". It matches the Rfam family "Bacterial small subunit ribosomal RNA", at positions 56 to 972 of the family's 1533-position model. Lineage: Bacteria; Pseudomonadati; Bacteroidota; Flavobacteriia; Flavobacteriales; Flavobacteriaceae. The record is from RNAcentral.